Molecule: transfer RNA, 72 nt
Filed under: Sus scrofa (pig)
Lineage: Eukaryota; Metazoa; Chordata; Mammalia; Artiodactyla; Suidae
Rfam family: tRNA
About the family: Transfer RNA (tRNA) molecules are approximately 80 nucleotides in length. Their secondary structure includes four short double-helical elements and three loops (D, anti-codon, and T loops).
Source: Rfam by way of RNAcentral
UCCUUGGUGGUCUAGUGGUUAGGACUCACUGCUUUCACCACUGCAGCCUAGGUUCAAUACCUGGUUUGGGAA